Aegilops tauschii subsp. strangulata is the source of this 812-nucleotide long non-coding RNA. RefSeq lists it as uncharacterized. The record is from RefSeq and is a predicted model, not a curated record. Lineage: Eukaryota; Viridiplantae; Streptophyta; Magnoliopsida; Poales; Poaceae.
CCUCCCCCCCAUUCUUUCCCCAAAACGAGCCGCCACUAGGUCUCCAUCCCUUCUCCCCAGAUCCACUUCUCUCCGAAAGCCGCCAGCCCGAUUUGAUGCCGAUCUGCAGCAAGUAGAUGGCGCGGAGCUGGUGCAGACUGUGUCUAUGCUUUCAGCGCCCCUCAUCAGCAGCCGCUUUCCCUCGUCUUCCACGUCAUGUACCUCCGCCGCAAGCGUGCCGCCACCCCUCCCCGCCGUGAGUUAGUGACAAGAGAGAAAGACCCAAAUCGCGACGACAAGCACUUGGUGAGGUCCGCGUGCACCGGAUCCGUCAUCCCCCACCGCGGGAUGAGCCAGGGAAUCCCGACCGCCGUUUCUUCCCCCCUUCGCCAACCGAGGAUCUGCAUCCAUGACUCCUUACAUGCCCGGUUCCACCACCAUGCCUCUACCAUUGACAAGAAGAAAACAUGGAUUGCCAUCCGAAGUCCCAGCUGCAAUCGAGCCAAGCGCGCAACAACCUGUUGAAGAGAAGAAGGUCUUGAAGGGGUGUUUGGGGCCUUUUUCAAUCGGACUGGAACUUGUGCACUAAGCAGUAUGGUUAACAUGAUGCUGAUGUUCAGUGAUGUUGCAAACUCCAACUAAUACUUGGCUUGGCCUAUAACAAUUAUGUACUGUACAUGCUAGUUGAGAUGUUCAAUUGGUUAGCUGUAGCAAACUCUAGCUAGCUACACUAUUUUUUUGACAAAGAUGAUAUGGUUGGUGAUGUUUUGCAUUUGAUGUAUGCAUGUGACGGUUGAUAUCCGGAGAUAUCUAUAUUGAUUAUGUGGUGUUUC